This 1028-nucleotide ribosomal RNA is filed under the name uncultured organism. RNAcentral's name for it is "bacterial SSU rRNA". It matches the Rfam family "Bacterial small subunit ribosomal RNA", at positions 42 to 1065 of the family's 1533-position model. The record is from RNAcentral.
GCAGGCUUAAUACAUGCAAGUCGAACGGAAACAGGCGGUAGCAAUACUGCGCUGUCGAGUGGCGCACGGGUGCGUAACACGUAUGCAACCUACCCUUAACUGGGGAAGAACCCUGUGAAAGCGGGGCUAAUACCCCAUAACAUUAUGGUAAGGCAUCUUACUAUUAUCAAAGAUUUAUCGGUUAGGGAUGGGCAUGCGCCCCAUUAGUUAGUUGGUUAGGUAACGGCUAACCAAGACUGUGAUGGGUAGGGGUUCUGAGAGGAUUAUCCCCCACACCGGUACUGAGACACGGACCAGACUCCUACGGGAGGCAGCAGUAAGGAAUAUUGGGCAAUGGACGCAAGUCUGACCCAGCCAUGCCGCGUGCAGGAUGACGGCCUUAUGGGUUGUAAACUGCUUUUGUAUGGGAUUAAAGUGUUGUACGUGUACGACAUUGCAAGUACCAUACGAAUAAGCAUCGGCUAACUCCGUGCCAGCAGCCGCGGUAAUACGGAGGAUGCAAGCGUUAUCCGGAAUCAUUGGGUUUAAAGGGUGCGUAGGUUGAUUAUUAAGUCAGUGGUGAAAAUUCCGGGCUCAACCCGGGACUUGCCGUUGAAACUGAUAAUCUUGAGUGUAACUGAUGUGGGCGGAAUGUGUCAAGUUGCGGUGAAAUGCAUAGAUAUGACACAGAACACCGAUAGCGAAGGCAGCUCACAAAAUUACAACUGACACUGAGGCACGAAAGCGUGGGUAUCAAACAGGAUUAGAUACCCUGGUAGUCCACGCUGUAAACGAUGAUCACUAGCUGUUUGCGAUACAUUGUAAGUGGUUAAGCGAAAGCGAUAAGUGAUCCACCUGGGGAGUACGUCGGCAACGAUGAAACUCAAAGGAAUUGACGGGGGCCCGCACAAGCGGAGGAGCAUGUGGUUUAAUUCGAUGAUACGCGAGGAACCUUACCUGGGCUUGAACGUAUGGUGCAUGAGUGUGAAAGCACUCUGUCCUUCACAGGACUUCAUACGAGGUGCUGCAUGGUUGUCGUCAGCUCGUGC